GGGUUGUGAGGUUAAGCGACUAAGCGUACACGGUGGAUGCCCUGGCAGUCAGAGGCGAUGAAGGACGUGCUAAUCUGCGAUAAGCGUCGGUAAGGUGAUAUGAACCGUUAUAACCGGCGAUUUCCGAAUGGGGAAACCCAGUGUGAUUCGUCACACUAUCAUUAACUGAAUCCAUAGGUUAAUGAGGCGAACCGGGGGAACUGAAACAUCUAAGUACCCCGAGGAAAAGAAAUCAACCGAGAUUCCCCCAGUAGCGGCGAGCGAACGGGGAGCAGCCCAGAGCCUGAAUCAGUGUGUGUGUUAGUGGAAGCGUCUGGAAAGGCGUGCGAUACAGGGUGACAGCCCCGUACACAAAAAUGCACAUACUGUGAGCUCGAUGAGUAGGGCGGGACACGUGGUAUCCUGUCUGAAUAUGGGGGGACCAUCCUCCAAGGCUAAAUACUCCUGACUGACCGAUAGUGAACCAGUACCGUGAGGGAAAGGCGAAAAGAACCCCGGCGAGGGGAGUGAAAAAGAACCUGAAACCGUGUACGUACAAGCAGUGGGAGCACGCUUAGGCGUGUGACUGCGUACCUUUUGUAUAAUGGGUCAGCGACUUAUAUUCUGUAGCAAGGUUAACCGAAUAGGGGAGCCGAAGGGAAACCGAGUCUUAACUGGGCGUUAAGUUGCAGGGUAUAGACCCGAAACCCGGUGAUCUAGCCAUGGGCAGGUUGAAGGUUGGGUAACACUAACUGGAGGACCGAACCGACUAAUGUUGAAAAAUUAGCGGAUGACUUGUGGCUGGGGGUGAAAGGCCAAUCAAACCGGGAGAUAGCUGGUUCUCCCCGAAAGCUAUUUAGGUAGCGCCUCGUGAAUUCAUCUCCGGGGGUAGAGCACUGUUUCGGCAAGGGGGUCAUCCCGACUUACCAACCCGAUGCAAACUGCGAAUACCGGAGAAUGUUAUCACGGGAGACACACGGCGGGUGCUAACGUCCGUCGUGAAGAGGGAAACAACCCAGACCGCCAGCUAAGGUCCCAAAGUCAUGGUUAAGUGGGAAACGAUGUGGGAAGGCCCAGACAGCCAGGAUGUUGGCUUAGAAGCAGCCAUCAUUUAAAGAAAGCGUAAUAGCUCACUGGUCGAGUCGGCCUGCGCGGAAGAUGUAACGGGGCUAAACCAUGCACCGAAGCUGCGGCAGCGACGCUUAUGCGUUGUUGGGUAGGGGAGCGUUCUGUAAGCCUGUGAA
RNAcentral lists this ribosomal RNA (1223 nucleotides) under Shigella flexneri. Its description in RNAcentral is "partial 23S ribosomal RNA". It matches the Rfam family "Bacterial large subunit ribosomal RNA", at positions 1 to 1254 of the family's 2925-position model. The record is from RNAcentral. Lineage: Bacteria; Pseudomonadati; Pseudomonadota; Gammaproteobacteria; Enterobacterales; Enterobacteriaceae.